This is a long non-coding RNA of Mustela lutreola (European mink), 447 nucleotides long. RefSeq lists it as uncharacterized. The record is from RefSeq and is a predicted model, not a curated record. The transcript is spliced from 2 exons. NCBI's taxonomy places the organism in Eukaryota, Metazoa, Chordata, Mammalia, Carnivora, Mustelidae.
UGGGCAGAGCGACGUGGACGCGGGAAAACACAGAGGCUGGGGCGGCGGCCAGAGCCCCCGAGGCCCCGACGGCGGUUACCGGGUAGAGGUAGAGCACCGCGGCCACCAACGCCAGCAGGAAGACCUACAGGCUCGGACUCCGGGAGCGAGGGCGUGUGUGUUCUGGAACAAAGCUGUGGUCGUCCGUGAGAACCGCCGACCCAAGCGAACCCGGACUGGGGAGUGUCAGAGUCCAGCUCUGGUGGAGGCUCCUUGUUCCGCGAAGGAACUUCUGUGAAGCGCUCAUGGUGGGGCUCCCAGUGGAGCCCCGGACUGCUCAGGGACGGGGUCCUCACGCUAGAGCUGCAGUAAAUUGGAAUUUCGAAGGUUCCAUCUCCUUCCUGUAAAACAGUGGAAAUACUACGACACAGAGUGGCCCGCAGGAAUAAAUCGGAUAUUUUAUGAGAA